This 29-nucleotide small RNA is filed under the name Bombyx mori (domestic silkworm). RNAcentral describes it as "piRNA piR-bmo-2115207". Lineage: Eukaryota; Metazoa; Arthropoda; Insecta; Lepidoptera; Bombycidae. The record is from RNAcentral.
UAGACCUUAGCCAGGACCUCUGCCUCGUA